Molecule: ribosomal RNA, 466 nt
Filed under: uncultured bacterium
Lineage: Bacteria
Description: bacterial SSU rRNA
Rfam family: Bacterial small subunit ribosomal RNA
Source: RNAcentral
UGCCAGACUCCUACGGGAGGCAGCAGUGAGGAAUAUUGGUCAAUGGCCAAGAGGCUGAACCAGCCAAGUCGCGUGAGGGAUGACGGCCCUACGGGUUGUAAACCUCUUUUGCCGGGGAGCAAAGAGCGGGACGCGUCCCGCCUCGAGAGUACCCGGAGAAAAAGCAUCGGCUAACUCCGUGCCAGCAGCCGCGGUAAUACGGAGGAUGCGAGCGUUAUCCGGAUUUAUUGGGUUUAAAGGGUGCGUAGGCGGACGCUUAAGUCAGCGGUAAAAUUGCGGGGCUCAACCUCGUCGAGCCGUUGAAACUGGGUGCCUUGAGUGGGCGAGAAGUACGCGGAAUGCGUGGUGUAGCGGUGAAAUGCAUAGAUAUCACGCAGAACUCCGAUUGCGAAGGCAGCGUACCGGCGCCCAACUGACGCUGAAGCACGAAGGCGUGGGUAUCGAACAGGAUUAGAUACCCUCGUAG